This 497-nucleotide ribosomal RNA is filed under the name uncultured bacterium. RNAcentral describes it as "partial 16S ribosomal RNA". It matches the Rfam family "Bacterial small subunit ribosomal RNA", at positions 28 to 507 of the family's 1533-position model. The record is from RNAcentral.
GAUGAACGCUGGCGGCGUGCCUAAUACAUGCAAGUCGAGCGAACAGAUGAGGAGCUUGCUCCUCUGACGUUAGCGGCGGACGGGUGAGUAACACGUGGAUAACCUACCUAUAAGACUGGGAUAACUUCGGGAAACCGGAGCUAAUACCGGAUAAUAUAUUGAACCGCAUGGUUCAAUAGUGAAAGACGGUUUUGCUGUCACUUAUAGAUGGAUCCGCGCCGCAUUAGCUAGUUGGUAAGGUAACGGCUUACCAAGGCAACGAUGCGUAGCCGACCUGAGAGGGUGAUCGGCCACACUGGAACUGAGACACGGUCCAGACUCCUACGGGAGGCAGCAGUAGGGAAUCUUCCGCAAUGGGCGAAAGCCUGACGGAGCAACGCCGCGUGAGUGAUGAAGGUCUUCGGAUCGUAAAACUCUGUUAUUGGUGAAGAACAAAUGUGUAAGUAACUAUGCACGUCUUGACGGUACCUAAUCAGAAAGCCACGGCUAACUACGUG